GUGUAACCUAGUCUUCUCAAAACAAUGGGCCGGCUUCUUACACUGUAUCUACCUAGACAACUAUGGCGACUUAGUCUUUGCUCAGUUGUUACCAACUCAGAAGCAAAACUGAACUGUCUGACCUUCAAAAGCUUGGUCAGGAUAGGUCAACAGUUCUUACUUAUUUAUCUUGACUCUUAAUGAUGUUCAUUACCAGAGUUCUGGAAAAUAAGGAAAAAGAUUAUGGAUUAUGGAUCUCUGGAAUAAAAACAUUUAGUGUCACAGCAAAAGAAGUUUUGAGUUUAUAUACAAAUUAAGUAAAAGACUAAUUUUGGUUUUGAAAAACUCGUUCUCUAAACUUUUACAGGAAGUUUAAAUAAAUUACAUCAUGAACAAAACUGCAGUAUGCCAGUUCCUAUCCUCAUGACCUCACGAUUCUGCCUGAGCUCCACAUCAAUGAAAGGAAAAUCGGAUAAUGAAGCACUUAGUCUAAUAUCUCAAUAGCAACCACCAAUUAGGAUUACUUUUUAGAAAAGAAAAAAAAACCUAACCUUAUAUGUAAAUGUAUCUAGUGUGCAAAUGACAUAAUGCUUAUAUGUAUGUAAAUCUAUCUAGUGUGCAAAUGACUUAAUGCCGGGGUGGGUAAACUGUGGCCGAGAGUACCCCAAAUCCAGCCCACUCCUGCUUUUGUAAUAAUUCACCAGCUAAGAAAUGUUUUCAUAUUUUUUUAAUAAUUGGGAAAAAUAUAUACAUUUUGUGACACGUGAAAAACCACACAAAAUUCAAAUGUCAGGGCUUGUAAAUAAAGUUAUAUUGGAAUGCAUCCUCAUUCAUUAAUUUCUGCAUUGAUCAUUGUUUUCUGGGCAUGGCUAAGUUGAACAGUCAUGACAGAGAUUAUGUAGCCCACAAAAUCUAAAAUAUUGACUAUCUAUCUCCUUUCAAAAAAAAGUUUGUUGACCCCUGAGAUAAAGGACUAAUUCUGAAUUCAAUUUGAAUUUUACUUCAAAUUAUUGAGCCAAAUUUGUAUGUUAAAAUG
This 1015-nucleotide long non-coding RNA is filed under the name Homo sapiens (human). Its description in RNAcentral is "HSALNT0374177". Lineage: Eukaryota; Metazoa; Chordata; Mammalia; Primates; Hominidae. The record is from RNAcentral.